RNAcentral lists this ribosomal RNA (253 nucleotides) under uncultured bacterium. Its description in RNAcentral is "partial 16S ribosomal RNA". It matches the Rfam family "Bacterial small subunit ribosomal RNA", at positions 524 to 776 of the family's 1533-position model. The record is from RNAcentral.
UACAGGGGGUGCAAACGUUGCUCGGAAUUAUUGGGCGUAAAGCGCGCGUAGGCGGCUACCUAAGUCGGAUGUGAAAGCCCCUGGCUCAACUGGGGAAGUGCACCCGAAACUGAGUAGCUAGAGUGCAAAAGAGGGUCGCGGAAUUCCCGGUGUAGAGGUGAAAUUCGUAGAUAUCGGGAGGAACACCGGUGGCGAAGGCGGCGACCUGGGUUGACACUGACGCUGAGGCGCGAAAGCGUGGGGAGCAAACAGG